AACGAACGCUGGCGGCAUGCCUAACACAUGCAAGUCGAACGAGACCUUCGGGUCUAGUGGCGCACGGGUGCGUAACGCGUGGGAACCUGCCCUUAGGUUCGGAAUAACUCCCCUAAAGGGGUGCUAAUACCGGAUAAUGUCUUCGGACCAAAGAUUUAUCGCCUUUGGAUGGGCCCGCGUUGGAUUAGCUAGUUGGUAGUGUAAAAGCCUACCAAGGCGACGAUCCAUAGCUGGUCUGAGAGGAUGAUCAGCCACACUGGGACUGAGACACGGCCCAGACUCCUACGGGAGGCAGCAGUGGGGAAUAUUGGAAAAUGGGCGAAAGCAUGAUCCAGCAAUGCCGCGUGAGUGAUGAAGGCCUUAGGGUUGUAAAGCUCUUUUACCCGGGAUGAUAAUGACAGUACCGGGAGAAUAAGCACCGGCUAACUCCGUG
Molecule: ribosomal RNA, 433 nt
Filed under: uncultured bacterium
Lineage: Bacteria
Description: partial 16S ribosomal RNA
Rfam family: Bacterial small subunit ribosomal RNA
Source: RNAcentral